AGGUGUGGUGGCGCACGCCUGUAAUCCCAGCAGCUUGGGAAAUGGAGGCAGGAGGAUCGCGAGUUCAAAGCCAGCCUCAGUAAAAGCUUAGCAACUCAGUGAGAUCCUAUCUCUA
RNAcentral lists this small RNA (115 nucleotides) under Marmota monax (woodchuck). Lineage: Eukaryota; Metazoa; Chordata; Mammalia; Rodentia; Sciuridae. The record is from RNAcentral.